Molecule: long non-coding RNA, 1700 nt
Organism: Girardinichthys multiradiatus
Lineage: Eukaryota; Metazoa; Chordata; Actinopteri; Cyprinodontiformes; Goodeidae
Exons: 10
Source: RefSeq, a predicted model, not a curated record
GCUUUAUGUAAUUUCAAUUGUAAUAAUUUGUUAUUAAGAAGCUAUUGGUUUGUUGUAUUUUUUUUUGUAUAUUGAAAAAAAGAUUUCCGCAGCCUUUCUGGCUGAAUACCCUAAACUGGAGACCUUGGCUGGUGGAUGGAUUUUUUUACAAGGCAGCAGGAAAGCAGAUUUAGCAUUAUUUGGCACUGUAUGACACAUCUGUAAAAGGAAGUGGCCAGAGAAAACUUACUGUUGUCCCACCCGAGUCUGAAGGCUAUACUACAAAACUUCUAAAAACUGCAUCCAAUAAUGGAAGACACAUGAUUUUCAUCAUUCCAAUUCAAGAUGAAAUCAACACAGAGCCACUACUUGAUAAUGCCCCAGAGUUCAGCAAAAUGCCAAAACCUGUGGGGACAUUUUACCCUUACGAGUUCUUGCUCUGCAUAUAGAGACCUGUACCAAAGCUAUGGAAGACAGUGAAGAUGAGAACCAAGAGAUGGCCAGGAAGAUCAGGAAGUGUCUUUUGUUUACAACAUUCAUAACAACAAAUGCCAUCAACUGUGGAAGUUGCUCCAUUUGACAGAAGAACAGUGGAUGUUGCAAGAUUAGAAGCACUACCAGGCCCAUCCUCACAAACUACAUGUUUUCAAAAUCAGCCAGCAAGUUAUGCAGGAUCUUGAUACUGGCAACAAAACAGAGGGUUGGAAGAUCAUACCAGACUUGGCCAGGGCUGUUUGGAUAUACAGAGAGACAGUGCUUAGCAUUCACAGAUCAGGGAAACCACUGUAUUUGCAUAUUGACCUCAGAACCACCAUCUCAGAACAAGACAUUGAUUUUGUUACAUUUUACAAAGCAUCCAGUGUUGAGCGGGCAAAUCCUUUGCAAUGCAUACUUGAAGGUGAUUAUCAAUAAUUACAAGGUGAUCCUGCAGUCGGGGAGGGUGUGAACCGCUUCUUGGUAUCCAGUCAUACAAAGGCUGAAAGAUGGUUUCAACAUGAAUUUUGGAUCCGAGAAACAAAAUUUGUCUACACAGGAAAUGCUUGUGUAACAAGGCUGUUUGAUGGAGAACAAGACCACCUUGUGCCUUCCUCCUCUGCAUUUCUGGUUGAGCGUGACCUAUUUCUAAUGGCAGGCAGAAUGAUUGGCCAUUGCUUUUGCAUGGCGGUCCUCCGCUGACAGGGCUUAGUCCUGCUAUUAUUCACAUUUUUUGUGGAGGGACACCGGAAACUGCAAUCGCUGAGAUCAAUGACUGUCCAGGGAGAAUCUGAGGGAGAAAAAAAACAAACCUUGAAGGCAGCUCUGAACUCUCAGCUGAUGAAAAGGAGAAAGUUGACUUCCUGUGUCUUGCAUGGGAUCUCCCUUUGAUGACAAGUGACAAUCGAACAUGGCUUUUUGAAAGGCUUCUGCAUUAUGCAGUAAUGGGACGGGUCAUGAGGCAAAUAAAGCAAAUAAGAAAGACACUAUGCUGUGGACCCUGAUCAGUGAACGUCCGGAUGUGGCUCAAAUUAUUUUCCCACGCAAGUCAAUUGCUGUGUUGACCCCAGAGGUAAAUACAGAGCAUUCUGGACCGCAUCAGCUGGCCUACCAUGACUGACGAAGAAGCUCCCAGUUUUAGUCCGUGAGGCAGACACCCUGUCUACUUUUAAGGCUAGGCUUAAAACUUUCCUUUUUGAUAAAGCUUAUAGUUAGAGUGGCUUAGGUUAUCUUGAGCUAUCUCUGUA